GACGAACGCUGGCGGCGUGCCUAAUACAUGCAAGUAGAACGCUGAAGGAGGAGCUUGCUUCUCUGGAUGAGUUGCGAACGGGUGAGUAACGCGUAGGUAACCUGCCUGGUAGCGGGGGAUAACUAUUGGAAACGAUAGCUAAUACCGCAUAAGAGUAGAUGUUGCAUGACAUUUGCUUAAAAGGUGCAAUUGCAUCACUACCAGAUGGACCUGCGUUGUAUUAGCUAGUUGGUGGGGUAACGGCUCACCAAGGCGACGAUACAUAACCGACCUGAGAGGGUGAUCGGCCACACUGGGACUGAGACACGGCCCAGACUCCUACGGGAGGAAGCAGUAGGGAAUCUUCGGCAAUGGACGGAAGUCUGACCGAGCAACGCCGCGUGAGUGAAGAAGGUUUUCGGAUCGUAAAGCUCUGUUGUAAGAGAAGAACGAGUGUGAGAGUGGAAAGUUCACACUGUGACGGUAUCUUACCAGAAAGGGACGGCUAACUACGUG
Molecule: ribosomal RNA, 495 nt
Filed under: uncultured bacterium
Lineage: Bacteria
Description: partial 16S ribosomal RNA
Rfam family: Bacterial small subunit ribosomal RNA
Source: RNAcentral